AUCUCUGUAGAGUCUGCAUAUCAAUAAGCGGAGGAAAAGAAACUAACUAGGAUUCCCUCAGUAACGGCGAGUGAAGCGGGAAGAGCUCAAAUUUGAAAUCUUCAAGGUUUUACCUUGACGAAUUGUAGUUUAAAGAAGUGUUUUCUGUUGGUGUUUUGGUAAAAGUUCUUUGGAAUAGGACAUCAUAGAGGGUGAGAAUCCCGUAUUUGACCAUUACUUCCAGCUUUGUGAUACACUUUCAAAGAGUCGGAUUGUUUGGGAAUGCAGUCCAAAAUGGGUGGUAAAUUUCAUCUAAAGCUAAAUAUUGGCGAGAGACCGAUAGCGAACAAGUACCGUGAGGGAAAGAUGAAAAGAACUUUGAAAAGAGAGUUAAAUAGUACGUGAAAUUGUCAAAAGGGAAGCGUUUGACACCAGUGUUGUUUUCUCGAAAAUCAAUUAAAAAAAGUUGGAUUUUGUAUUGUUAAGACCUUAUCAGCUUACUGUACUCUUUUCUUGCUUUUUUUAAUGCACUUUUCGUUUAACAAGUCAACAUCAAUUUCUUUUGUUGUAAAAGAGUCAUUGGAAGGUGGCUUUCACUUCGGUGAAAGUGUUUAUAGCCUUUGGCUUCUGCAAUCGGAGAGAUUGAGGUCUGCAGCGUAGAUCCUUCGGGGCUAGAUACGUAGAUGCUAAGUUAUAGUUUUUUAUAGACAACUUGUUGACUAUAAUUAAUCAUGUAGCUUACUCGUUUGCGCUAUUUUACCUACGCUUAGGAUGUUGAAGAUGUAGCACAUCAU
Molecule: ribosomal RNA, 773 nt
Filed under: uncultured Neocallimastigales
Lineage: Eukaryota; Fungi; Neocallimastigomycota; Neocallimastigomycetes; Neocallimastigales
Description: partial large subunit ribosomal RNA
Rfam family: Eukaryotic large subunit ribosomal RNA
Source: RNAcentral